CUAUAAUGCUCUGGUCGAGCUACUGCACAUUAUAUCAGAAUUCAGAGAAAGAUUUGACGGAUCUGGGAGAGUGUCGAUAUGAUCAAGGUGGGUAUUUCAUUAACAAUGGGAGCGAAAAGGUUCUAAUUGCUUAGGAGAAGAUGAGCACCAAUCACAUCUGUGUUUAAGAAGAGGAAGCCAAACAAGUAUGCCUAUGUGGCAGAAGUCCGAUCAAUGGUGGACUCCCAGAACAGGCCACCCAGUAGCAUUUUUGUGUGGAUGCUUUCACGGACUAGUGCCAAAGGGGGCUCCUACCCUUCCGUACAUUUGGACUGAGAUUCCUAUUAUUAUUGUGCUUCGGGCAUUAGGAUUUGUUGCUGACAAAGAUAUAUUUGAGCAUAUUUGCUAUGAUUUCUCUAACACUCUUGGAGUUGCUACGACCCUCCUUGGAAGAAGCAUUUGUAAUAUAAAAUCAACAGGUUGCACUGUACUACGUCGGGAAACGAGAGGCCACUGUUGGUGUCACAAAUGAAAAGAGGAUUAAAUAUGUGUUAUGAAUGCUGGCUGUUGCUAUACACGAGUGUAAAGCUGUCUUUUGUGCUUCUUUUUUUGUUUAAGGAGAGUCUCCUGUUCAUUUACUUCGUAGGUAUGCCAAAGAGAUCCUCCAAAAGGAAAUGCUUCCUCAUGUUGGUGUAGGAGAGUAUUGUGAGACAAAGAAAGCUUACUAUUUUGGAUAUAUUAUUCACCAGCUUCUGCUACGUGCAAUUGGACGAAGGGCGGAGGAUGAUAGGGAUCACUAUGGCAAUAAGAGACUCGAUCUUGCUGGUCCUUUGCUUGGUGGCCUCUUU
Long non-coding RNA from Cornus florida, 827 nucleotides. RefSeq lists it as uncharacterized. NCBI's taxonomy places the organism in Eukaryota, Viridiplantae, Streptophyta, Magnoliopsida, Cornales, Cornaceae. The record is from RefSeq and is a predicted model, not a curated record. The transcript is spliced from 4 exons.